CUGGGCUCAGGAGCACAUGGUCUGCAGCUGCUAGAGGAGGUUCCAGGGGAGAUCCGGGAAAUUACAGGCCAGUCAGCCUGACGUCAAUACCGGCUCUUCUUUUGCAGGUGACAAGCAGCCCUGCAACACUUAUCUCAAAGAAGAGGAAUGUUUUGACUACGGCCCUUCCAGCCUUGGGAAAGUUUCACUCUCUCAGCUUCAA
Long non-coding RNA from Eublepharis macularius, 202 nucleotides. RefSeq lists it as uncharacterized. The record is from RefSeq and is a predicted model, not a curated record. The transcript has 3 exons. NCBI's taxonomy places the organism in Eukaryota, Metazoa, Chordata, Lepidosauria, Squamata, Eublepharidae.